RNAcentral lists this ribosomal RNA (301 nucleotides) under uncultured bacterium. Its description in RNAcentral is "partial 16S ribosomal RNA". It matches the Rfam family "Bacterial small subunit ribosomal RNA", at positions 509 to 809 of the family's 1533-position model. The record is from RNAcentral.
CAGCCGCCACGGGAAUACGUAGGUGGCAAGCGUUGUCCGGAAUUAUUGGGCGUAAAGCGCGCGCAGGCGGAUCAGUUAGUCUGUCUUAAAAGUUCGGGGCUUAACCCCGUGAUGGGAUGGAGACUGCUGAUCUAGAGUAUCGGAGAGGAAAGUGGAAUUCCUAGUGUAGCGGUGAAAUGCGUAGAUAUUAGGAAGAACACCAGUGGCGAAGGCGACUUUCUGGACGAAAACUGACGCUGAGGCGCGAAAGCCAGGGGAGCGAACGGGAUUAGAGACCCCUGUAGUCCCUGUCUCUUAUACA